UAGUGAUUGUUCCGAUGUGUCCAGGUCAGAUUGUUGAAGUAUUCAUUGCAGUUCUUUUUUAAUUUACCUGCCAAGUCAAAUUUCUUGACAUUUUUAUGGUUAGAAUUUUUUUUUUUUUCCCAAAAUUUCUUACUGAUAUGAUUUGUGGAGAAUAACAGUGCAUGGUGUUCUAACAUGAUCAAUCAGUGUUUGAAAUAGCAAUUCCAACCAUCUAGACUGGUGGAACCUGAUUGGUCAGUUAUAUUGUGCUGUCGCUCAGCCUCAACACAAGUGGUAAAAUUUGAAAUAGGUUUAAGAUACAUCCUAUAUUUGAAUAGUACCAUUGGGGAAAAGAGUGCAAAGACAAUUUUCUUCUCUAUGUAUGUAGAAGCAGUAGGAUUAAAGGAUAAAGAAAUAAAAAUUUCAUAAGUGUGCAUGAAUGAUACACAUAUGGGCAUUUUGGGGGAGAGAUUCUUUUGUCAGCCUUUAGAUUGGUACUGGAAAGCGAAUCAUGUAUAAACAUGCCAGAAGCAAAUGCCCAAGCAGAGAGAGUCUUGGCUAUUACAAAGCACAUAUGUGCUGAUUUUCAUACAAUACUACUGUCUACUGUAUAAACAACUUCAAGUAAGUUGAAAAACUUAACACAUUUACAUGUUGCACAGUAAUUCUCAAGCCUCUGAAAAUUACUUUAAUGAGAUUUUCAUGAUACUCUGGUUUUGAAGUGCUUAUGAUAUCGCUUUAAAAGCUAGAGAUUUAAUCAACUGGAAGUGAUAAAUUGAUAUAUCAUAGUUAGCAAUGUUAUAUUAAAUUCACUUGGUGAAAAAAAUGACGUGUAAGAAUUUUCAAUUAUAUGAAAACUUCACUUUGACUUUACACUCAUUCCAUAUCUAUUUCACAGUAUCUUCAUUUUCUUUGGUGCUCUUAUAAACAUAAUGGCCUGGGAUAUAUUAAUAUAAUACUAUUCCUCCAUUGGGGAGUUCCCAUUCUUUGUCAGCACUCAGCACAGAUUUAAAUCUGUACCACUGUAUUUAUUAUAUGCCUUCCAUUUGCACUAUUCUCAAUGUUAUAAUUCAUGGAUUGGCCACUGAACCAUUUUGUCCCUUGUUGUCUGGUUUAGGUUCUCCAGUUAUCUAUAGUUUUAAUCUUUCAGAUGAUUUUUUCAUUUGUGUGUGGAAGAGGGACUAGUGAUUCCUUGCUCAAUGAUUUAUUGUUCCAUGCGUGUUCAUGUUAAACUUUGAACUCAUAGCACAAACAAACUUUUCUGGAUCAGCAUGCAAAUUGGAGAAGAGGA
Molecule: unclassified non-coding RNA, 1270 nt
Filed under: Hevea brasiliensis (rubber tree)
Lineage: Eukaryota; Viridiplantae; Streptophyta; Magnoliopsida; Malpighiales; Euphorbiaceae
Source: RNAcentral